This is a long non-coding RNA of Trichomycterus rosablanca, 536 nucleotides long. RefSeq lists it as uncharacterized. Lineage: Eukaryota; Metazoa; Chordata; Actinopteri; Siluriformes; Trichomycteridae. The record is from RefSeq and is a predicted model, not a curated record. The transcript has 3 exons.
CCCACCAUGCCGCCCUACAAAUAUUAAAAAUAAAUAAAGAAAAACCAAGAGGGCUUGAACAUGUUAUACAACAAAGAAAAAAACCCAGUUUGCUUUACUGUCAGCUACAAAACUAAUGCUUCAUUUAUGUCACAUUGCCCUCUAGGUUUCAGAUGUGGUGUCCACUGUGCACCAUUAAACUCACCUAUAAUGGCCAUGCAGAAAUUACAACUGAACAGAGCAUAAGAUGGGGUGGGUCACUCGAUGUAUGCGGUGUUCUUCACAAUCAUCUGAAUGGCUGAGCACUUGAUAAUCACUUACCCACAGCAGGAGGCACAGUAGAAUGUUCCAUCGUGCAACUUACCAAAGUUGAAGAUUCUGCUGACUUACAGCGAGAUCCUCUGGUUCUAGGUCCCUCUAUACUGUUUGAUGUCUGGCUGCUUUCCUAGAAGAAGAGAAGAGUACAAAAUUCUGUGAUUGUCAGUUUCUUCUGAAACAACCCAGCAGAAUUACAUUUUAGGCCUGAGAACACAUAUUUACCUACAUUUCAUUAAAAA